Molecule: non-coding RNA, 599 nt
Organism: Arachis ipaensis
Lineage: Eukaryota; Viridiplantae; Streptophyta; Magnoliopsida; Fabales; Fabaceae
Source: RefSeq, a predicted model, not a curated record
UCACUAGUUAUCAUUAUCUCCAUAAAAUCUAAAUAUCCUUUCCUAGAAUACUAUUUUAUUUAUUAAUCCUCUAAUACCUUUUUCCGUCACACUCACUUCCAACCAUCUCUAUUUCCAUGAUAUGAGAAAUAAUUGAUUUUUCAGUCUCAAUGAAGGACUUAAGAACUGAUCUAAUGCGUGACCAAUUACCAUGUUUAUUUAUCUCAUUUUGGAUGCUAUAUAUGAAUUGUAAUUUGUAGUUUUUUUUUUUGGCUUUGUAGUUUCUUUUUUGGCUUUCUUUUUUGUAGUUUCCUUUUUGGUUUUCUUGAAUCUAUCCAGAGAAUCUAAGGGCCUUAGCAAAAUAUUAUGAAUUUUUACAGCAACAGGAUAGCUUAUCUUUUGGAGAAGAUGACAAUACCAAGCAGAAGCAUUCAACAAAAGCAACAAUAUGUCUGCACCUCUUUCUCCCCCGACAGAUGAAUUCUGGUCUAGUACUAAUAGUAGUGAAUAAACCAUUUUCUUGCGGCUAAUUUAUCAACGAAGGGCUAUUCAGAUCUCCUUGCAGAGCAUCCUUCGGGGAUUUAUUUUGGUUGGGCUGGAUUAUCAUCCAGAGGUGUUUU